Populus trichocarpa (black cottonwood) is the source of this 749-nucleotide long non-coding RNA. RefSeq lists it as uncharacterized. The transcript is spliced from 2 exons. Lineage: Eukaryota; Viridiplantae; Streptophyta; Magnoliopsida; Malpighiales; Salicaceae. The record is from RefSeq and is a predicted model, not a curated record.
AAUCUCAAACGGUGUCGCCAGCCGUAUCCUUGAUCCAGCUUGGAAGUGUAUUAAAUAUUCCAGCAUGUCUAACGCGAUGAGAUGCUGGAAUAUUAAGUUCCUAAUUUAUGACAGCAAUGAUCGGAGAGACACAGGGAAUCCUGGGUGAUGAUGCGAAGCAAUCUCUUCUACCAUUGCUUUGCAACUCUCAAUUCAGCUGGCUCCUUGGGCUGUUAGGCUUAUAUUUUAUUCAUGUAAAAGUCAGAGUCUCCUCUGAAGGUUUCAAUCUUUGCCUUCUGGGCAUCAAAUUUAUCAAGAACUCGUCUCUCUCAUAGAAAGCCAUUCAAUUGUUUCUUUCUUUCUUAUUCUUAUAUAUCCUACCUUCUGGUUGGUGCAGUUCUUCGUUGACACACCAGAUCGAGGAAGAUAACAAGGGCUACAAACAUACACACAAGAAGGUCAUGGGGCAUCACCAUCACCACCACCACCAUCAUCAUGAAGAUAGCCCAUAUGAUGAUCCCUUGUUGGCUUGCUGUUACUGCCCUUGCUUGCUAGUUUCUUCCAUGCUGAGAGGAUUUGGGAGAUGUAUAUUUGCAGCUUGUUACCCUCUCUUGCGUUGCUUUGGAUUGGAUGACCACCACCACCACCACCACCACCACCACCACCAUUCCUUUUGAUCAUUGCUUGAUAGUUUGUUUCUUUCGUUUUGUAGUUUUACAGUCAAAUCGAUUGGAUAAAAAAGGAAUUAAUUCAAAGUGAGAUGUUGAAUU